Molecule: long non-coding RNA, 3799 nt
Filed under: Coffea arabica (coffee)
Lineage: Eukaryota; Viridiplantae; Streptophyta; Magnoliopsida; Gentianales; Rubiaceae
Description: long non-coding RNA (CARA_LNC002370)
Source: RNAcentral
AAGGUUCUGUUUGCAAGCCAGAGUGGAACUAGGAAGAAGCCGUGAGCAAGCUCCAUCCCUAUCCGCGUCAACAACCAGCUGCAACCCAGCUUCACCCUCCACCAGUCGCAACCAGAAAACCAGAACCAACAAACCUGUGCGUGAGCCGAGAGAAAAUAUCAUAGCUUACUUAUUCGUGAGCUGAGCUAUUCUGAGGUAAUUUUCUGGACUAUUUUGGGUUGAUCAGAGGUAGAUUCUAGUUUUAGAUUAGCCUUCUAGAGGUUGAUGAUGGUGUUUAAGUACUUGCAUGUGGGAUUUGUAUGUUCGGAUGUUGAAAUCUGUCUUGGUAGCAUCUGGUUCUGCCGAGAGUAGAUUAGGAGUUGCAGUUUUAAUUCUUGUUUCCCUGACAUCAUCUGAGCAUGAAUCGGUGAUUAGCUAACAAAAACUGAGUGGAUUAAGCUAGUUAUAGCUUUGCAUGUGAGUUUAGGCGGCCAGAUUUGUAAUUAAGAAAAGAAGAAAAUUUCUGUGCGCUAGUUAUGUUUCUGCCGAGAGCUUGAGCUGGAAAUUUUGGUUUUAAUUUGCUGGGUGUGAUGAUUUGAGCUUAAUCUUGGAUCAACCUGAUAGAUAAGCUCCUUACUUAGUAUUGCAUGUGAACUUUAUGGCUAGGAAUUUCGGUUGCAUGACUGGAAAACUUAUUAGAAAAUUUCUGGACUGCUGAACUAAUUUUUCCAGAUUAGCCGUUGAAGUUGUUUUGGAAAUUGCUUGGGUAUUUUAGCAUGAAUUUUGCUGGAACGUGUUUGAUUUCCACUUAGUUAGGUGUUUGACUAAUUAAAAUUAAAUGAUUAAGCCUUGCAUGAGGUGUUUUGGUCUGGCUAAGCUAGAAACAAAAAAAUAAACAAGAAAAUCUGCUGUAUGCAAGAUUAUCCAAGAAUAGCCGAAUGAAUUCCUGGAUUUUUGGGAUGUUUGUAGUUGUUAAUUGAAUCUGAUUUUGAACGAGAGAUGUUAAUUACCUAGCUAAGUGUUGGCAUGUUGAAUUUGAGUAACUAAUACCCUGUUUUGGCCAAGGAAAAGCUGGAGUUAAGAACAUACAAUUGCUAGAAAUUUUUUUUGUGAACUGCCGUGAAUUCGAACCAGGAAAUUUUGAAGAGUGUAGCUAUUGUUUGGAUUUAACUUCGAACUGGAAGCAAUUUGUAGCUAACUAAGUGUUUAGCUAUGAAACAGUUGAGAUUUUGGAAGUUUGAAUUGAAUUAAUGAAGUGUAGCUGUUGGGAAACUUUCGGUCAAAAUGAUGGAAGUAGUAAAGGAAAUUCUUUCCAGAUUUCUUUUGGCGAAUUUUAGUUCUAAAACUUCUGUUUUGAGCUAUAAACUAUUUCAUGCUUAUUGACCUCACUCUCGAGCAUGUCAAAAGGGCCGUGCAUGUGAAUUUUUGGGUGACCAUUUGAUGUUAAUCAUGGCUACAAGGAUGAGAUGAAUUUAUCGGCAAUUGAAGGAAUAAAUUUUGAAUUAUAACCAUUGUGAAUUACUUAAUCCGCAUUGGUGUAUGUGUUAUGAGAAAUAAUUGUUGAAUGCUAAGGGUUAAUGAUUGAUGAAGCCCUUGGCCAUGUGAAUGAUUUUUAUAUAAUCGUUAAAGUGAUGAAAUUUAAUUGCUGAAAUGUCUUUGAGGCCUUACCUUUAUUUUUAUGUGUAUAUGAUGAGUUUGCUGAAACCAAGUGCUAAUGAUUGAUGAAGCCUUGGUCGUUCAAUUUUAUUUUUAUCAGAAAUGCAAUUGUUGAAAUCUAGGGCUAAUGAUUGACAAAGCCCUAGUGAUUUGCUAUGUGAUUUUGCCAUAUUUGAUCCAUAAUAUGAUUUCGAAACGGAAUCGGAGCUGUGGAAGUCGCUUCUACCUUGCGAACUCGUGUAGCUGUGAGCAAAUUAAUCAAAAAUAUUUUCCAGCUAGUAUUAAAUCAUAAAACUCAAUAUCUAGUAUUUUGCCUAAAACUUUCCAACCGAUAAUUUCCUUUAGCUCAAACUAGCCUUGAUAGUUAUAGGAAAGAAUUUCUCUAGCUUUUGAAAAUCCUAAGUCUUAUUUUAAUUUCCUUUCCUUUCAUUAAGAUUUGCCCUUGGAUAGUUGUCGGUAGGAAAAGUUCCAAAAUAAGAGUUUUAAUAACUUUAAUUAAGAAUGUAGAAACUUGCUCGGCAAGAAACUUUAUUUAGAUUAAAUAGUUUUUAGUGACAAUUUUUACAAGAACCAUAGCUUAAAAGAAAUCUUUCGAAGUAUCUUUCUAGUUUUAUUAUUAAGUGGUUUGUCGAAUUAUCUCAAGAAAAUAAUACUAAUUACCUUUUAUAGGGAAAACUACAAGAAACAUUUUUACUACUUUUGCCAAGUUUCAACCUAAGUAGAUCUUUGAGUUUACUUCGAAAUGAUAAACUAGUUAUAAACUCGAUAAACCUUUAUAGUUAUAAACCUGGAACUUGAAUAGAAAUUGAAAGUGUUAUAUUUGUACUUUAAAGGUCAAACUUGAUUUUAAUAAUUUACGCAGAAAACUUGUUUGGCAAGAAACCUUAUUCAAAGCAAAUUGGUUCUGGUUUGCACCUCUAGAAAGAAAGAAAUCCUAUGAAGUAUUUCAUCACUUUCACUAGUUUAACUCUAGGGAAAUUGUUAAUUUAUUUGGUGUAGAUAAACUAGUUAUAUACCAGAUAACUUUGUAUUUAUAAACCAAGAACCGUACAACAACACUUAUAGUUUUAAAUUCUGGAUUUCUAGGGUAUAGCGAGGACGUGGAUUUGUGAAUCCCAGCUUGAACUCUGAACUUCACUUUUGGUGAGUGUCCCUGCUUGUUUUAUGUUAUGUGGUUAAGCGCUUUACCAAUUCGCUAUGUGAUAAUUGUCAAAAUGCAAUAAAUGAUUUUUGAUCCAUCGAAGUGAGCAGUGUGUACUUUAUCGCACUAGCCGUUCGAGUGGUGACGUGUGUGAAACAUUUUCUAAUGAAUCCGUGAAUCUAAAGGACGUAACGUCGUUGGGUGAAUCCCUCGACGAGUCAAUAAUAAUAAAUCAAGUGCUAGACGUAAAGUCGUUGGGUGAAUCCCUCGACGAGUCAAUAAUAAUGAAUCAAGUGCUAGACGUAAAGUCGUUGGGUGAAUCCCUCGACGAGUCAAUAAUAAUAAAUCAAGUGCUAGACGUAAAGUCGUUGGGUGAAUCCCUCGACGAGUCAAUAAUAAUAAAUCAAGUGCUAGACGUAAAGUCGUUGGGUGAAUCCCUCGACGAGUCAAUAAUAAUGAAUCAAGUGCUAGACGUAAAAUCAAUAAUAAUGAAUGAAGUGCUAGACGUAAAGUCGUUGGGUGAAUCUCUCGACGAGUCAAUAAUAAUAAAUCAAGUGCUAGACGUAAAGUCGUUGGGUGAAUCCCUCGACGAGUCUAUAAUAAUGAAUCAAGUGCUAGACGUAAAGUCGUUGGGUGAAUCCCUCGACGAGUCUAUAAUAAUAAAUCAAGUGCUAAUAAUAAUGUAAGUUCAGGACGUAACGUCGUUGGGUGAAUCCCUCGACCAGUCUAAGGUACACUUGGGUAUUAUCGCCUUCCUAUUUGUUUACUUCAGUCGAAUCAAUACGUGUUAAUUGUUUUAAUUGAUUGCAUGUUUUUGGGGCACCACUGAGCUUUAGCUCACCCCACGUUUAUUGUUUUCCUUAACAGGUUCUGGAAACUGAAAGCUGGAUGCUUACUUAAGUUUUCCUUUUGGAUUGUAUUUGAAUACUAUAACUUAUUCUGUGGGCUGUAAUGUGUUAUUUGAGAUAAUGCACUUUUCUUUUGGGUUGCCACUUGAAACUGGAAAAUGGGUAAACCCUAAUU